RNAcentral lists this ribosomal RNA (494 nucleotides) under uncultured bacterium. Its description in RNAcentral is "partial 16S ribosomal RNA". It matches the Rfam family "Bacterial small subunit ribosomal RNA", at positions 28 to 507 of the family's 1533-position model. The record is from RNAcentral.
GACGAACGCUGGCGGCGUGCUUAACACAUGCAAGUCGAACGGAAAGGCCUGCUUUCCCUUGUGGAUUGCGGGUACUCGAGUGGCGAAUGGGUGAGUAACACGUGAGUGAUCUGCCCCCAACUUGGGUAUAAGCCUGGGAAACUGGGUCUAAUUCCCGAUAGGACUGCAGGGUGGUGCCUGUGGUGGAAAACGAUUUUCUAGUGGUUGGGGAUGAGCUCGCGGCCUAUCAGCUUGUUGGUGGGGUAAUGGCCUACCAAGGCGGCGACGGGUAGCCGGCCUGAGAGGGUGGACGGCCACAUUGGGACUGAGAUACGGCCCAGACUCCUACGGGAGGCAGCAGUGGGGAAUAUUACACAAUGGGCGGAAGCCUGAUGCAGCGACGCCGCGUGGGGGAUGACGGCCUUCGGGUUGUAAACUCCUUUCGACCGCGAGGAAGCCACCUGGUUGGAAGGGUGGUGACGGUAGUGGUAGAAGAAGCACCGGCUAACUACGCG